Molecule: ribosomal RNA, 264 nt
Filed under: Pteridomonas danica
Lineage: Eukaryota; Dictyochophyceae; Pedinellales
Description: partial Bacterial small subunit ribosomal RNA
Rfam family: Bacterial small subunit ribosomal RNA
Source: RNAcentral
CGUGAGGUGUUGGGUUAAGUCCCGCAACGAGCGCAACCCCUAUCUUUAGUUGCCAGCGAGUAAUGUCGGGGACUCUAAAGAAACUGCCUACGCAAGUAGAGAGGAAGGCGGGGACGACGUCAAGUCAUCACGGCCCUUACGUCCUGGGCCACACACGUGCUACAAUGGCCGGUACAGAGAGCAGCCACGUCGCAAGGCGGAGCGAAUCUAUAAAACCGGUCACAGUUCGGAUCGGAGUCUGCAACUCGACUCCGUGAAGCUGGA